CUUUAACAAUCCGGAACAAGCUGAAAAUUUGAAACGACGCAUUGUCGUGUUCCUCCGUAAUAAGGAACACAGCACAACGCGUUCGAGUCUCUCAAAAGCUCAUAACACGCAGCGUAAAACGCCUGUGG
This 128-nucleotide small RNA is filed under the name Pantoea ananatis. RNAcentral's name for it is "Salmonella enterica Typhi npcRNA 44". It matches the Rfam family "Salmonella enterica Typhi npcRNA 44". The record is from RNAcentral. Lineage: Bacteria; Pseudomonadati; Pseudomonadota; Gammaproteobacteria; Enterobacterales; Erwiniaceae.